UAAGAUGUUUAGGCGAUUACUCGUUUAUGAACUCAUAAGCGGGAGGAAAGUCCGGGCACUGCAGAGCAGCGGAGUCUCGACGGCCUGCCGUACGAGACCGAGGGCGACCUUAGGGAAAGUGCAACAGAAAACACACCGCCGAUGAUCCGGCUUCGGCUGGAAACAGGUAAGGUUGAAAACGUGCGGUAAGAGCGCACGACGGCUGCGGCGACGUAGUUCGUUGGAAAACCCUCCGUAGUGCAAGUUUGCUGGACCGCAUCUGAGCCAAUGACGACGGAGAGAGCGAAUAGCUUAACCCAUCGCCAAGGCUCGCUCGGCGUAGCUCAGACGGUGCAAACGCAUAGAUAGAUUAUCGCCUCUCCGGCUUGCCGGAUAGACAGAACUCGGCUUAUCGAACAUCUUAAAGC
RNAcentral lists this RNase P RNA (407 nucleotides) under Candidatus Berkelbacteria bacterium. Its description in RNAcentral is "RNase P RNA component class A". It matches the Rfam family "Bacterial RNase P class A". From Rfam's summary of the family: Ribonuclease P (RNase P) is a ubiquitous endoribonuclease, found in archaea, bacteria and eukarya as well as chloroplasts and mitochondria. Its best characterised activity is the generation of mature 5'-ends of tRNAs by cleaving the 5'-leader elements of precursor-tRNAs. Cellular RNase Ps are ribonucleoproteins. The record is from RNAcentral. Lineage: Bacteria; Candidatus Berkelbacteria.